Long non-coding RNA from Peromyscus eremicus (cactus mouse), 2249 nucleotides. RefSeq lists it as uncharacterized. The transcript has 7 exons. The record is from RefSeq and is a predicted model, not a curated record. Lineage: Eukaryota; Metazoa; Chordata; Mammalia; Rodentia; Cricetidae.
GCAUCCUCUGUGAUGUCACUAUGUUGUGGCAACACCCACUGUCCUUGAGAAGUUUAUUCAGUGCCUUCACCAUUUUCUGAUGAACAUGAUGGCAUACUGAAGUGUCUUAUUCAGAAAGCGAAUGGAGAUGUUAGAGAAACCAGAGAGUGACAGAAGAAAGCUGACCUUCAGCCACAAUGUAAAACGUCAAGAAAGAAAUGGUCAAGAGAACCAUGUAAUGAGUUCUGUGCAAGAAAAGGGAAUCUUCCUGGAGGAAGUGGGCUUGUGCUGAAUCUUCCAGUAAUGGGGAACAGAAAGCUGGAGUCUCUGGGAACCAACAGAACUUCCUGCUUGUCAUGCCUCUUGAAAUUCAAGGAUUCCAGGAUAUUAAUUGUUCUGGCUCAGAAGCCGGGAACUGGCUUGUGGACUCUGCAGCCAAGUUGAAUUCUGAGUCUGCAGCUGUGAAUGAGCCUGAAGAGGCUAUCUGCUUGGUUACUUGGAGCAUGUGCUAUGAGGGCAGAGAAAACCAGAUAGCUGGGAUAACCACUUUCCUUCAAAUCGAGGAGAGAGCUGAGAUCCCCAGAGGGGGCAUCUCAAGCACAGGACAAAAUAAUUUGUGGUGUCACCGAGUCACUGAUGAACAUAAAGGAGCACCAGAGAGCUACCAUCCCACCAAACCUUCCUCACCAAAAUGUAGAUGAAGCAGAAGGUGCAGCCUGACCAGUCAGCUACAGAAAAUGACCAUUGAAAGAAAGUAACAGUGAGAUUGCCUGAUCUUUAUCACAGAAGAGAGCAUGAAGAAGAGGUGUUUGUGCAUGUAUCACCCUCUAAUCCCUGCAAUCGGGAUCUGUGGUUGUGCAUGAGCACUUCCCUGUCUCACAAUUCCCAUGUGAUUCCUUGGUGAAAAUUGGGAGCACCACUGUAUUAUCAUUGAGAAUUUCUUUUUGAAGACAGGAGAAACAUUGUCACAGACUCUGAAGGGUACACACUUGUGGAGAAGACACCAGGGAAAUUCUUAGACAGCUAUUUUGGCAAGCCUGCUGAGAGAGCUCAUGCAGCUCCACCUCCCAUCAUCUAAACAGCCUGCCUCUACCGGUGUAGGGUCAGAAUAGGUGUUCUUGGAUUUCUGUUGUUGUUGGAGUUUUCAGAAAUAGUAUGAUUAUUUCUGGAAUUCCCUUUUCUCUACCAUUGGCCUGGAGGAAACGGUCAGAGACCCUCAGACACAGAAAAAGCAGGAUACAUUUAUAGGAUUCAUUGCAAUCUUUGUCUUUAGCUACCUUAAAUCCACCGAAGAUGAAUACAUUCUAAAUGCAAGUUUUAUUUUAUAUUAUUCAAUACAACAAUUUUUUAAUAAAUAGAAUUUUCAAGAUAGCACUACUCAAUUUCACCCAAGGAGAAAAAUGAGAUCAUUGUAGGCUAUGAUAGGCAAAACUGACGGCAUUAGAAAAUUUAAGCUGCCUUAUCCAGGCUUGUAAAAUUCUAGUUGUGUCCAUAUUCUGCAAAGCCUUUUGAUAGUACUGCAUAAUUUAUUUGUGGCAUAAUGACAUUAUAAUUUACCCAAACUAUUGAUCGUAUUUGAAUGACUGAUGUAAUAGUAAAACUUACCCUAAAGGUUUCUCUUUUAAUUACCAGUAACCUCAUAUCACAAAUUAUUGGAAUUAUCAGUGAUUUUUAAAAACUUAAUUUAUUCAUAAUAGACAUACAGCUUCAGGUGGAAAAAUAUUAACAUUUAAAAGGGGUAAAGUAACAAAGGCCUGAGUAAAUAAUGGGCACAAGAGUGGGCUUGUUUCCAUUUUCCUGAUAUGAGAAGUAGAUUAUAUGGACCAUGUCUUAAUGUUCAACAAUCUACUGGGAUAAAAAAUGGUGCCUAAAUAAUGCUUCGUUUACUACAGCCAUAUUAAAGGUAGAAGGAAAAAUACAUACAACUCACAGAGAGACUUGUGUUUUCAGGAGUAGAAAAAUGAGGAUAUAAAGUGAGGUCAUGAUUGGGUGGGGUUGAUUUGCCAUGUGGCUAUUAUGACAGACUGUGUGAUCAAUAUUACUGCCUGGCAACCCAAGUGGGAUUCUCUCUGCCCAUGUCAUGGGACCAACAAACAGGGAGCAGCUGAGAUGCAGUGUUUACUUGGGACACUUUAUUAUCCAAAAUAUGUGUACCAUAUAACCUUUAUUGUGCACAAAGUGGGAGGUGAUGGCAAUCAGUCCAUGGCCAAAGCCUUGGAAUUUAACCUUGCACCUGGCACUAGUACUUAAUAAAGGUUACCUAAUCCCAC